This 231-nucleotide ribosomal RNA is filed under the name uncultured bacterium. RNAcentral's name for it is "partial 16S ribosomal RNA". It matches the Rfam family "Bacterial small subunit ribosomal RNA", at positions 118 to 350 of the family's 1533-position model. The record is from RNAcentral.
UGACCAACCUGCCCCUAACUCUGGGAUAACCCCGGGAAACCGGAGCUAAUACCGGAUACGAGACCGAGUGGCAUCACACGGUCUGGAAAGUUUUUCGGUUAGGGAUGGGGUCGCGGCCUAUCAGCUUGUUGGUGGGGUAAUGGCCUACCAAGGCGUCGACGGGUAGCCGGCCUGAGAGGGCGACCGGCCACACUGGGACUGAGACACGGCCCAGACUCCGUACGGGAGGCA